UGAGGAAUAUUGGUCAAUGGGCGAGAGCCUGAACCAGCCAAGUAGCGUGCAGGAUGACGGCCCUAUGGGUUGUAAACUGCUUUUGUAUGGGGAUAAAGUCAAUCACGUGUGAUUGUUUGCAGGUACCAUACGAAUAAGGACCGGCUAAUUCCGUGCCAGCAGCCGCGGUAAUACGGAAGGUCCGGGCGUUAUCCGGAUUUAUUGGGUUUAAAGGGAGCGUAGGCUGGAGAUUAAGUGUGUUGUGAAAUGUAGACGCUCAACGUCUGACUUGCAGCGCAUACUGGUUUCCUUGAGUACGCACAACGUUGGCGGAAUUCGUCGUGUAGCGGUGAAAUGCUUAGAUAUGACGAAGAACUCCGAUUGCGAAGGCAGCUGACAGGAGCGCAACUGACGCUGAAGCUCGAAGGUGCGGGUAUCGAACAGGAUUAGAUACCCUGGUAGUCCGCACAGUAAACGAUGGAUGCCCGCUGUUGGUACCUGGUAUCAGCGGCUAAGCGAAAGCAUUAAGCAUCCCACCUGGGGAGUACGCCGGCAACGGUG
RNAcentral lists this ribosomal RNA (540 nucleotides) under uncultured bacterium. RNAcentral describes it as "bacterial SSU rRNA". It matches the Rfam family "Bacterial small subunit ribosomal RNA", at positions 355 to 896 of the family's 1533-position model. The record is from RNAcentral.